This 484-nucleotide ribosomal RNA is filed under the name uncultured bacterium. RNAcentral describes it as "partial 16S ribosomal RNA". It matches the Rfam family "Bacterial small subunit ribosomal RNA", at positions 30 to 507 of the family's 1533-position model. The record is from RNAcentral.
AUUGAACGCUGGCGGCAGGCCUAACACAUGCAAGUCGAGCGGAUGAAGGGAGCUUGCUCCUGGAUUCAGCGGCGGACGGGUGAGUAAUGCCUAGGAAUCUGCCUGGUAGUGGGGGAUAACGUCCGGAAACGGGCGCUAAUACCGCAUACGUCCUGAGGGAGAAAGUGGGGGAUCUUCGGACCUCACGCUAUCAGAUGAGCCUAGGUCGGAUUAGCUAGUUGGUGGGGUAAAGGCCUACCAAGGCGACGAUCCGUAACUGGUCUGAGAGGAUGAUCAGUCAAACUGGAAAUUAGACAAGGGCCAGAAUCCUACGGGAGGCAGCAGUGGGGAAUAUUGGACAAUUGGCGAAAGCCUGAUCCAGGCAUGCCGCGUGUGUGAAGAAGGUCUUCGGAUUGUAAAGCACUUUAAGUUGGGAGGAAGGGCAGUAAGUUAAUACCUUGCUGUUUUGACGUUACCAACAGAAUAAGCACCGGCUAACUUCGUG